Patella vulgata (common limpet) is the source of this 5891-nucleotide long non-coding RNA. RefSeq lists it as uncharacterized. The record is from RefSeq and is a predicted model, not a curated record. Lineage: Eukaryota; Metazoa; Mollusca; Gastropoda; Patellidae. The transcript has 2 exons.
CUGAACCAAGAUAUUAGCUUUUGAAGGUUUGACAAGAUUCGUGCACUGGUUGUUCGAAGCUUAGACUCGCUUCACCAUUUUUAGAUUAAAUCAAAAUAUGGCUGAACCAUUCUAAUCUAGUUGAAUCUCGAGUAUCCAAUGCCAUUGAGAGUUGAUUAUGGUCUUCUUUUGUUAAAAAAAUAUCUAAUUAAUAGUUUAUAUAACAUUUCAGGCCUAAAGAAAGACCUACAAUAGGCAGAUUUAGCUCUUGCAUAAUGUAUGUUUAAUGAAUUUGAAAUCUAUUCAUUAAAUUUUUCAUUAUGUGAUGAAAACAUACCUUUUACAAUCGCCACACGUAUAUGAUGUUAAAAAUACAGAUAUUUCAAUAUCCUUUGAUAAUCACUAAGGCUAGGUUCCCACUAUCACGAUUCUCGCUACGAAUGAAAUCGUGGAGUAAUUGUGAUGAUUCUAUCAGGUCUUAUCAUAUAUUAAGGUCAGUCAUAGCAAUCGUGUUGACCGUAUCAAAACGUAUUCGAACAUAUCUGCACGAAGCAGAUUGUGGACUCAAUAGGGACCAUCCUAUCGUAACGCAAUGAACGACAGUAGAAACCUAGUAUUACCAUUAUUUCAAAUAAUGGUACAAGAUGAUGGAAAUACAUGUAUUUCAUAUCAAAUCUGUAUUUUUUUUAAGUUAUAAAAAGGUUUUGAGCUACACAUUACAUAUGGUAUUUCCUGUCACGCUCUUGACCUUUAACCCAAACAUUUAAUUGUCACUAAAUCAUUCAGACAUUUAUCUGCAAAUAGACUGCUAGAUUAGAUAUAAAUUAUUUAUAUUGUAUAUGAAAUUCAUAUUUGUAGAGUUUACUGUACUCCUGUCAUCAGGGUAGUAAUAUGCUGAUUAUGAUUUUUGUAUGGUUAACUGUAGGCUACUCCUGUCAUUGGAGUAAUAAUACGCUGAUUACGAUUUUAAGGUUUAUGUACAAUCUGAUUAAAACACAGAUCCUAUUUCGUGUCGUUUUUUUAUAGUUCAUAAUUUCGUUUUACUUGUCUUUAGUACACUAGUAUCUGGAGGAGUUGUUAUCAUUGACGUGUUCUGGAUGAUGUAAGGGAUUAGCCAAUGAAACGGUCUGUUUUAGACGUGAGGUGCAUGGAACUGUGGGUAACCCACUAGAAACAUCAACGCUGAUUGGUUAAACAAAUAUCUGACAUUGAUAUAGGGUUAAAAGCGGCUUGUAUGACCCCUGACGCGACCUGUUACUACAACUGGUCAGAUCUUCAUGUAGUAGAGACCAUCGAAAGUAUAAAAAAACAAAACGAAAUAUAGAUCUGUAUUUUAAUCAGAUUGAGAUUAUGUAUUACCAUUGUUUCAAUGGCAUUUAGUUAAUGAACUGGACAUACAGGUGACCAUUCUAUGGAAUACAAUUACUGCUUAUUACUAAGCAAGUUUCAACUAGGCUUCUCGAGGCAUUAUCAAGCAUUAUAAGCAGUAAUUGUAUUCCAUGGAAACGUGACCUGUAUAUAUAUAUAUAUUACCAAUGAUGCUUAACUUACACUAUAUAGAGCAUAAUAAUCCUUCUUAAUAUAUUUACAGUAUUGUAAACUAUGAGGCUUGCCAAAUUUAUUAUAACCUGUAAACUGUGCCAGAUAUACAUGUACAUGAAAAGGGGUCCUAGGUUAUUCAACUUACGAGGACCCUAUAAUUAUAAAUCUUCCAAAGAAUAAUGCAUUGGUAUUAAAAUUUAUUUAGAUGGCUAGGUUUGUGUAUGUAUAUAUUUAGGCAGUGUCUUUGAUCAGCCAAAAAAACCUGAAUGUCGAAAAAUAGGGAAAAUGCUGCUUGAUCAGCUAGAUUCAAUGGUUCUUUUGUGAAUCAAAGACACUGCUACUCUUAAUAAUUAAAUAUGUAACUUCUAAACAUUUCAUGAUAUAUCAAUAUGAAUUGUUUAAAAUGAUCUGAGCAUUUUGUAUAUAGUUUGUUUGUUAACAUAUUAUAGCCUCUCCUGAUACUAUUGUCCCCUUCCAGCCCCUCAAACCGCCAUAAGUCAAACCAAUACAUGUAGCUGUCAACUAUUUGUGGCUUAUAAAUCUUAGUACAAAGUCUUGAAUAUCCUUGAAUUUCGCGGAAAUAGGAAAAUAUCCUUGAAUUUCUGUUGAGAUCCUUAAUUUUGUUUCAAAUGUCUUCAAUUCCUUUUAAAUAUGAGAUUAUAACGAUAGUUGGUAAUGUUUUGGUUAUUUUUAAGAUGAAAAAUUGUAACAUUAGGCUAAAAAAAUGUCCAUGUGAAUCCUUGAAUUUGACGUAUAUUUAUCCUUGAAUAUCCUUGAAAAAAUGUUUGACGAAGCCGUGGGAACCCUGAUAGUAUGUUUUAACUUCAUGCUUCAAUUGGAAGUGGUUGGUUUAAAAUUAUAAAUUAAUGACAAUAUGUAUAAAGGGGCUUCCAUGAAUGACCAUAAUACAACACUGUAAUCCAGGUAUCAUUUAAUCUUGUGUAUUUAGCAUUAAUUUCUUUCACAUUUAUUCAAUAUCAAAUUUUGAGAUUUGAUAUUAAACAAAUGUGUAAGAAAUUAAUGCUAGAUACACAAGAUUAAAUGAUACCCAGGUUACAGUGUAGUAUGUUCAACUUCAUGCUUAGAUUGAUUGUGGUUGUUUUUUUAUGAAUUAAUACCAAUAUUUAUAAAGGGGCUUCAUUGAAUGACCAUAAUAGUUAUACAGUACGUUUAAUUUUACGCUUAUAUUGGUCGUUGUUGGUUUUUUAUAAAUGAAUACCAAUAUUUAUAAAGGGGCUUCCAGGAGUCAGUAAAAGUAUCAAACUGCUCCACUGUAGUAAUGUGAAAGGCUGAGCGAAAAUUUACUAUGAAUCAAUUUGUAAUGAUAUGUCAUUGUUGUUCAACAGAUAUGCAAGGGAAAUUGUUACCCAAAUAUUUAGUUUUUUUAUACUUUAAUAUAUUACUUUGUUAUUUAUACUGUUUGUUAUAAACUGUUUGUCAAUCAGAUUUAAACACAGAUCCUAUUUCAUUUCGUUUUUUAUACUUCAAAGUUUCGUUUUACUUGUCUUUACUACACUAGGAUCUGGAAGAUUUGUUAUAUAACCUGCGUUCUGGAUGGCGUGAGGAAUUAGCCAAUGAAGCCAUCAGGUUAGAUGACUUCUUGCGGUGCGAUGCACGGAACUGUGGGUAAACGACUAGAAACGCCAACGCUGAUUGAUUAAUCAGGGUAAAAAGUUGCUUUAUGACACCUGACGCGACCUCCCACUAUAACCGGUCAGAUCUUCGUGUAGUGUAGGCCAUCGAAAGUAUAAAAAAAAACGAAACGUAAUAAAGAUCUGUAUUUAAAUCAGAUUGGGUGUUUGUAUGAUAGAUGACAUAGGCCAAAACAUAAAAUACCUGCUUUAAUGGUUACUGGACCCUAUUUUAUUCUUAGCCAAAAUCACAGACCCUAAACUUUUUUCUCUCAUUUUCCAGACCCUAUAUAACUCGGUCUUGCCCAGAUUUUCUCUAAUCAAAUUCCAAUACUGAAAUUUCAGUAUUAUUCUAUUCAUUAUAAGACAUAUAGAAAUAGAUUUUACAAAUUAAAAACACUUAUAUGGAUAUACUACUUCUGAAUUUUAUUAACAUGUUAGUUUCAAUACACAUACAGGUAUCACACAUACAUGUAUCGUUAUCAAGCACAUGGGUAUGGUUAUUUGCUUGAUAACGAUAUCUGUAUGUGUAUCGAAACAUAGUAUGUUAGUAAAUUCAGAAGUAGUAUAUUCAGAAGUGUUUUUAAUUCAGUUUUAUUUUCAAGAACAAUACUCAGUAAUUAAACUAGAAAUGAUAAGAAACAGACAAUACAAACCUAACAAAAUAAAAAGAAAAAGAUUUUCCGACCCACCCUAUGUUUUUUUACAGCCAAGUUACCAGUUUUUUCUUGGCCUUAUAGGUAGUCAUGCUUGCAUUUGUAGAUAGAAUUUGAUUAUUUUUCUAAUGACUUAUAUUAUAGUGCUGGAAUAGAUCUGUUGACGAUUUCAUUAUUGUUUAUUUUACACCUAGAUAUUGAUUUCUGUUGCAUGCAUGUUUAAUUUUUCAAGCUGUCAUUCAGAUUUAUGUUGUAGGUUAGGUCAUCAUAUUUGGGGAUCCGCGCUGACUCAGUGAGUGAGUCGCAGUCAUGAAUUUGAUCCCGGUAUUGGCAGAGAGAAAGUUCUUGAGGAUUUUUCAGCGAUGUUUCCCCCCAUGUCUGUGAUGCAGGGUGGAGGGCCUGCAAGGAACAGGAUUCACUUGAUCUGAUUGAACGACAAACCAGGGUCCCAUGUGCCCCUUUGCGUGCACGUAAAAGAUCCCUUGUUAGUUGGAAUUCUAUGGAGUGUAGGCAGACACACCACUGUCCAGGCUAAAUUAUACUCAUAGCACACUGCAUGGUGUAUGCCCAUCUUCAUUAACCCAGAGGGGGGGGGGAGCUUUCUCGACUGACAUUAGGAUCGAGCCCGUGACCACCUUGUGAGCCAACAUGUUACUCACAGAACUCUCUGUAGAGAUACCCAGGCUGAUCAUCCAUAGGAUUUCUAUAAAGCACGGUUCUCACUUAAACUAUUUUACCAGUCAACCAUUGCCCGUUUGUGAGAGGGAGAUAAAUGUGGUUUAACAUUAACUCGACACAAACUAGGUCAUUUCGGGACCAACACAUGGUUCAAUUUUAUUUAUAUAAUUCGCUUGCGCGUAGUGGUCUUUAGCAUGACCCUGAGAAAACCCAUGAGGUUGGACAGGAGACCCUAGUCUUGUAACGUACAACCGGGGAUUCGAAACUCCGCCAGUUGACUCAAUGACAUACCGUAUGAUACAGCGUGCACGUGCUAACCAUUCGGCCACCCCUCCCCUCCCUUGCCAGUUUCUAUACAGUAUGUUAAUGUUAUAAUAUUAGUAUCUGAAAAUAUUCUCUUUAAAGAUGCAUUAUGUCAAUAAUGUCAAUAAAAAUUCAGACCAAUCUGUGCCAGACAAAGAUAAAAUCCAAAUUUUAGUAAUUUGAUUGGAUAAUAUUAGAUUGAUUUUAGUGCUUAGCCAAUCAAAAUUGAAGUAUCUACUAAAAUUUGGAUUUUAUCUCUUGUUAAAAUUUCGUGAAACAGGGCCCAGGGGGAUUGUGUUGAUAGCCAGACAUUGGUCAUGGCAGGUGUUUUAUUACUAGGCAUGUGUAUACUACUAACAAGUAGUUGGAUGAAAUUCAAAAAUCUAAUUUACUUAAUCAAAGCAGAAUUGUUCAAAGAACAAGCAUACAAAAUUUUAUGUCGAUCGGACUUGAAUUGAUGGAGCCUUAGACAUUUUUUAAGAGUGUUUCCCCCCCCCCCACCUCAAAAAACAAAUAAGUAUGCAUUCUAGUAGGUAAAUUAUAGUCAAGUGAAAGCCGUUGCAUGGUUUGUGAGACAAUCCCAAUCUGGUAGGACGAAAUCAAAUAAAAUGUCCCUGGUCAGAUCUAGUAGGACAAUGACUGGUAGAAGAGUCCAAGUGAGAUCGAGUCCUGGCAUGGUCUGUGAGACAAUCACAAUAUUCUCUGAGACAAUCUGGUAGGGUGAUGACUGGUAAAUUUUAAGUCAAGUGAGAGCCCUUGCAAGAUCUGUGCGACAAUCACAACCUGGUAGGGUGAUCACAGGUAAAAGAGUCCUGGCAUGGUCUGUGAGACAAUCACAAUUUGAUAGGGUAAUAACUGGUAAUUUAGCACAAGUGAGAGCCCUGGCAUGUUUUGUGAGCUUGUAGAAUUACAUCUAUAUAUAUAUAUUAUACAGUAUUGAGGGUUUAUGUUACUUGCUCACAUAUCUCCUACCGUAUACACAUUAAUUAUCAUUCAUUUAUCAUGGAUUUGUUUUUACGUUAAAUAUAUAUAUUGUGUUUCCUAUUACUAUAAAUAUAGUAUUAUAUAUUUAAGUUUGUAUUAAAAUAAACAUUUCACUCAG